GUGCUUACUUCAGCAGCACACAUGCUAAAAAAUUGAAACUAUGCAGAGCAGAUUAGCAUGGCCCCUG
RNAcentral lists this small nuclear RNA (67 nucleotides) under Fukomys damarensis (Damara mole-rat). The record is from RNAcentral. Lineage: Eukaryota; Metazoa; Chordata; Mammalia; Rodentia; Bathyergidae.